RNAcentral lists this ribosomal RNA (732 nucleotides) under Triticum aestivum (bread wheat). Its description in RNAcentral is "partial small subunit ribosomal RNA". The record is from RNAcentral. Lineage: Eukaryota; Viridiplantae; Streptophyta; Magnoliopsida; Poales; Poaceae.
AUGGCCUCCAACAACAACAAAAAAAUGGCGAAGGGGGGCAGUAGUAAGACGGUUACUCCACUGAAGAUUUAUUCGGCUUCGCCAACACCUAAUACUCGACAACAUGAUGCCACGAGUUCACGGGCUGCCACGGGGGGCAGUAGCAAGACAGUUACUCCACUAAGGAUUCAUUCGGCCUCGCCAACGCCUAAUACUCGACAACAUGAUGCCACGAGUUCACGAGCUGCCACGGGGGGCAGUAGCAAGACGGUUACUCCACUGAAGAUUCAUUCGGCUUCAACGACAUCUAAUACUCGACAACAUGAUGCGGCGAGUUCACGGGCUGCCACGGGGGGCAGUAGCAAGACGGUUACUCCACUGAAGAUUCAUUCGGCUUCGCCAACACCUAAUACUCGACAACAGGAAGCCUUGAAUGCACGGGCUGCCACGGCGAUGAGUAUGAAUCCUGUUACUCCAGUGACAUUGCGUAAUGCCGGUAAACAUGCAUCUUCAGCUAGUGGUAUGCCUGCGAGUGGAAGGAGACCAUCCACAACAGAGCAGCAGAAACAAAGUCAGGCAUCUUCUACUGGUUUGUACCUUGUCACUCGAGCUGGAGAUCAACCCAGACGUCAAGCCCCAUCAUCAUCAGCGAGCAAUAGGAAUGGGCAAUCAUCAGCAAGCAGCAGUCAAAGGGGGCAUGCAGAGUCUCAUGGUGCCGGAAAACCGAAGUCUACAGGAACAAAAAACAAGUGA